AGAAUGUCCUUGCCCUCUUUCUGGCUUGAAUGGAAAAUGUGGCCUCCUGGGACUGUCAGUGGUGUGGUCCCCACAUCCUUAGUUGUACACAUAACAUGCUUACCGUGUGCUUGCUUUGAGUCCCUUCUGAGCUCCCAUGCAAUGUAGACUCAUCGGAAUCCCGUGCUCAUGGGAUUUUAUGAACACUAUAUGCAAAUAGGACAGCAAGAAAUGGCAGUAAACGCUUUUAUUGUUGCUAUCUCCUCUGCUCCUGCACAUGCUCCAUGGUAUCGUUGGACUUCACUUACAAAACACAGAUACAAAGACAAAAUUACUAAGAAUUACCAAGAAUUUUAAUUUCAAGAUGGCAACAGAGUAUUAAACCAAAGAUGAAGUCGUUCUGAGUGUGGGGUUUGCGAGAUGGCACAGGUGGCACUCCCAGGAGCUCGUCUUGGCCAGGUCGCACCCUUGAGUCCAUUGGAACCUGAAUCUCACCCUGCUCUGCUAUGCUAUACUGACUCCAGCUGAAUUCAAGGAGUUACAGUUUGAAACUCUCCAGACUCCAGUGGCCAUCCCACUUGUGAUCACUUGCUCUGAGGGAGGACAUCUGCUGUAUCAUGAGGACGCAAAACCAUCCCAUGGAGGGUGCUACAUGCAGAGCAGCUGAGGCCUCCUGCUAGUUGUCAGUGAGGAACCGAGGCUUCUUGCCAAUGGCCAUGUGAGUGAGCCAUCUUGCAAACAGAUCCCCUAACCCCAGUUAAGCCCUUCAGGCAAACUGCAACGUUGUCAAGUCUUAACUGCAACCUCAUGAGAGACCCUAGGCCAUAGCCACCAGCUAAGCUGCUCUUGAAUUCCUGACUCAGAAACUUUGAGAUCAUGAAUCUUUGUUGUAUUAGGCCUCCAACCUUAGGGGUAAUUGGUUAUGCAGCAAUAGAUAACUAAUAUACCAUUAUUUUCAAGCGGGACUAUAAGCUUGGUACAACCCAAACACCAAAGUAUAUCCAAGAGUUUUCUUGGCCAUGUUAGGAAGUCUCAGAAGACCUCAAAAUGAAAAGCAGACAAGCCUCUACUCAUAGAGUGCACAUUAGGCCGAUAUAAUAUUUAGCUUUUCUAGAUGCUUUAUUUUUUAGGCACUGUACAGUAAAACCAGGGCUUCUUUCCUUGCCUUGAUAAAUGGUGAAUGACAUUGGAUGCCACUCUCACCCCCAUAUGCUCACCAAAGGGAGAAGAAUUGCUCACCUGAUUGGUGGGAGUCAUAGCAAAUGAAAUAGGUCCCUGUGCCACAAUUCUGCCAGACUCAGACCUCACUUGUCAUUUGGAGGAGCAAUUUUGAAUCACAUUCUCCACUGUUCCUUGCAGGCCCCCAGCAGUAGUAACCCGCUGCUAUGCGCAGUGAAAAUCAGCUCAAUUAGACAGCCUUGCGCAUGCUUUCCCCCAUCUCUACUUCACUCCCCUUUCUUUUCCCACUAACUUCCUGUGAUCACCUCUUGAGGACCUUGGUGAGAGCACUGGACCAAACCAAGACAGUUGUUCGGUCUGGUGUUUUGGGGUAGGGCAUGCUUUACAAGUUGGUGAGAUUACCAUCCCCUAAAAAGGGAGGAAGCAGAGAUAUCUCUCCCAACUCUUGCUUCUCUUAUUUGGCAGUCUGACCUAUCAGGCAGGCUAAAUGGCCUAGACUAGUUCAGGCCCUAAGGCAAAAAUGUGUUUUUUUCUUGUUGUCCAUGACAUUAUUUUUUUCUUGUCACUUAGGAGAAUGCUUUAGGCUGGCUUUUUCUUACAGUACCAAUGCUAAGUCUCCACCCUGAGUUUGGAAGUUAAUUAGAAGGAAGAGAAGCAGAGGCAUAUGAAGGAACUAGCAACAUAGAGGUGCCUCAAAUGGGGCUGGGGUGAACUGUAACUACACAAAGGCUGGCAUUAAAAAGUACAGCCCCACAUGAAAGACUGGCCCCAUUGUCCUUAGCAGGUGGUCUGGGCUGCUAGUUUGGCUGUUCAGGGAUAGUUUGUGCCCCUAGGCAAGAGGCAAAUGGUAUUGUGGUUAAGGAUGAAAUUGGAUUAUAAGUAAAGGAGAUUUAUUUCGGAAACAGCUGGAAUUGACAGGGCAGGUUAUUGGGGCUGGCUUUAGCAGCUUUGGGGCCCAGCAAUUUUGAAGUAGCUAUUUUAUCUGUUGAUUUUAGCAGUAUUGACAGUGACCAUUGGGUUUAUCAAGAAUGGAGUCAUCUAGGGAAGAGGCACUUGAGAAAGCAGGUAUCUGAUAUUGAUGAGGAUGGAGGUCAAAGGGGUGUUUUUUGUCUACCUGAGAGUACUGAGGAAGCUUCCCUUCUCCGGAGUCUUCUGGUUGUGUGCAGAGAGGGUGUCACUGUUAACUGAGCCAGCAAAGGCUCAUCCCCAGACAGGCUGUUUCUCAAGUAUGGCUAUAGGCCUUGAGGCUUGAAGCUCCUUCAGGUCUCUAUAGCGUGACAUUUUUGAUGGUGAGGCACUGGCCCGAGUUUUCUCCUCCAUCCUGCCCUGAAGCAGGGGUGAAGAACUGUCAGGUUUUUUAGGGUGUAGGGAGGAACCUUUCAUGUCGUGCCCAUGUAAGUCCAGAGAGGUAGAACUUUCUCCCAACACAUUUAAAAGGGAAAUUCUUACCCUCCAUCUUUUUUGGUAUGUGUGGGAGCCUGCAACUCAGACGACUGUAUUUCCUGGUUGCUUAGUACUAAGGCACUGGAGAUCACUGACUGCUCAGCCAUGGCACAACCUCUUGUCUCUUUUGCUCCCUAGCCCCACCCCACCCUGUGAUCAGGUACAGGGGUGAUGUGCUUGAGCUUCAUGUAGUAUCUCUCAGGUCACUAAGGGGGGGAACUUGACAUUUCCCAUGUCUUUGCCUCUAGCUGACCCUUCUGUGCAGAUUAGCUACAUUUAGCAAGAAAGGAGUAGGAAGCCCCUACUUUGGAUAUGGGCCUUGGUUCUCCAGUCUAACCAUUUCUAGAAAUGGAUGCUGAGAAGUGAAAUUUGAGGCUAUUAUAUAAAUACAAACAUAUGUAACAUACUGCAUGUAUAUUCAUAUACAUAUAUAAUUUUUUCUGAUCAAUUUGAAAGUUGCUGACAGGAUGCUACUUUAUUCCUAAACACUAUAAUGCUACAUACAUAUUUAUUAAAAAGAAGCACAUUCUUUUUCAUAACCACAAGAUAAUUAUCAAAAUCAGGAAAGUAAUAUUGAUGCAUUAUAGCUAUAUUCAAAUCCUCAGGGCUUAUUUGUAUUUUUUCCACAUGUAUUAAUAAUAAUUUAAUGGCAACAGAAAAUUCUGCUUUGCUUUCAGUUGCUGUCCCUGUUUAGGCUGCUUUAAUUUAGUACAGUCCCUCAGUCUUUUUUGUCUAUCAUGACAUUGACAACUGUGAAGAAUGCAUGCCCUGGUUAUUUGAUAGAUGGUCACCCAAGUUGGGUUUGUUUGAUGUUUCCUCUUGAUUAGAUUUAGGUUCUGAGAUUUUGGCAAGAAUAUCACAGACAUGAUAUGUUCUUCUCAGUGCAUGAUAUCAGGGGACAUAUGGUAUCUUAUUUGUCUCAUUUCUGGUGAUGGGAAUUUUGAUCACUUGAUUAAGGUGGUGUCUACCCAGUUUCUUCAAUAAUAAAAUUACUAGUUAGUUAGCUAAUAAUUAAUGAGAAUCUUGUGGAAGGGUACCUUAAGAUUACGUAAGUAUCUUGUUACUCCUUAAACUUCCAGCUGCUAGUUUUAGCAUCUGUUGAAGAUUUUUGCCUAAAUCAAUUGUUAUUAUAAUGGUUACCAAAGAGUGACAUUUUAAUUGACCCCUGGAAUUAUUUCUAUGAUUAUUGGUUGGCUUUCUACUGUAAGAAAGAACAUUUCCUUAUCACCUGUUUUCUUAUUUAUUCAUUCAUUUAUCCAUUUAUGUCAUGAAUUUUAUUUUUUUCUGUGAAUUGUAUUUCUUUUUCUGUGAAUUGUAUUUCUUUACUAUGCUUAUUUAUUUUGAUUUGCAAAUUGUCCAGGUUUGUUCAGUCUAAGCCCUUUCAAGCUGGUUCCUGUGUCUGUUUGACAUAUCUACAUCAUUCUUUUAACACGUUCUCACUUUUCUGGCACAACACCGUAUUCUCAAUUCAUCUUGCAUUUUUCCAGAAUCAGCCAUUUCUCAAAAGGGCUUGAUUCCUUUUAGUGGCAAAUGGCAUUUUGAUUGAUUGCUACAGGGUGCCAUUGUUUCUAGGGCCUGUCAGCAGAGAUAGACAGUAGAUGUAUAUACACACAUACACUCAUAUAUGCAAAUUUAUGUGUAUACGUAUGUAAUAUCCAUGUCUAUAUCUGCAGAUAUACCUCAAAGAUAUUGUACAAUAAAGCGAAUAUUACUAUGAAGCAAGUCACGUAAAUUUUUUGGUUUUCUAAUGCAUA
This 4355-nucleotide long non-coding RNA is filed under the name Homo sapiens (human). RNAcentral describes it as "non-protein coding DIRC3-AS1:4". The record is from RNAcentral. Lineage: Eukaryota; Metazoa; Chordata; Mammalia; Primates; Hominidae.